UCGCUGUGAAGAUGCAGUGUACCCGCGGCAAGACGGAAAGACCCCGUGAACCUUUACUAUAGCUUGACACUGAACAUUGAGCCUUGAUGUGUAGGAUAGGUGGGAGGCUUAGAAGUGUGGACGCCAGUCUGCAUGGAGCCGACCUUGAAAUACCACCCUUUAAUGUUUGAUGUUCUAACGUUGACCCGUAAUCCGGGUUGCGGACAGUGUCUGGUGGGUAGUUUGACUGGGGCGGUCUCCUCCUAAAGAGUAACGGAGGAGCACGAAGGUUGGCUAAUCCUGGUCGGACAUCAGGAGGUUA
RNAcentral lists this ribosomal RNA (301 nucleotides) under Escherichia coli. Its description in RNAcentral is "partial 23S ribosomal RNA". It matches the Rfam family "Bacterial large subunit ribosomal RNA", at positions 2048 to 2348 of the family's 2925-position model. Lineage: Bacteria; Pseudomonadati; Pseudomonadota; Gammaproteobacteria; Enterobacterales; Enterobacteriaceae. The record is from RNAcentral.